Corylus avellana is the source of this 106-nucleotide non-coding RNA. The record is from RefSeq and is a predicted model, not a curated record. Lineage: Eukaryota; Viridiplantae; Streptophyta; Magnoliopsida; Fagales; Betulaceae.
ACAACAUGGUGUGGGCAUGAUCUAAGCAAGCUCUGUAACCUAUCCCAAGUCUCAUGGAAAUCUUCUCCCUCAUUUUGAGAGAAGGUAGUGAUGGCUCUCCUAUUGU